UUCUCCUCUUUCUUAAUGCUGUUUGAGUAUGGACCUAAUCCGUAGGUCUUGAGGAGGGCAAUGUCGUCUUCGUCGAGCGGACGAGGAUUCUUCUCGUCCUUUAUUAGGUCGUCUUCUGGAGCAGCUGCCGGCGCCAUUCGAUUCAAAUCUUAAAAGCUUUCAAGACUUUAGCUUUUGAGAAACGGAUGAGAAGAGAAAUGGAUAUUGAAAUACGAAGUAUUAUUGCUUGUGUUCUUCUGAGCAGACAAAAC
This 251-nucleotide unclassified non-coding RNA is filed under the name Hevea brasiliensis (rubber tree). Lineage: Eukaryota; Viridiplantae; Streptophyta; Magnoliopsida; Malpighiales; Euphorbiaceae. The record is from RNAcentral.